CUGGAACGCGCCCCAGGCGCACCCAGAAACCCUUUGUGAACUUAUACCUUACUGUUGCCUCGGCGCAUGCCGGCCCCCAGGGGCCCCUCUGGAGACAGAGGAGCAGGCACGCCGGCGGCCAAGUUAACUCUUGUUUUUACACUGAAACUCUGAGGAAAAAAAAAAAAACAAAAUGAAUCA
This 180-nucleotide unclassified non-coding RNA is filed under the name uncultured Valsaceae. Its description in RNAcentral is "sequence contains ITS1". Lineage: Eukaryota; Fungi; Ascomycota; Sordariomycetes; Diaporthales; Cytosporaceae. The record is from RNAcentral.